GAAACACGGACCAAGGAGUUCAACAUGCGCGCAAGUUGUUGGGUUAUCCGAAACCCGCAAGCAAAGUGAAAGCAAGUCACGGCUCUGCCGUGUAUUUGGCGAGAUCCCGACCCUCGGCGGUGUAAAAGCCGUGGAGACGGGCGCACCGCCGGCACAUCACAAGCUCACGUGGCUGUGGUGUAGCUUGAGCGUGCACGUUGAGACCCGAAAGAUGGUGAACUAUGCCUGGACAGGGC
This 236-nucleotide ribosomal RNA is filed under the name Doryphoribius macrodon. Its description in RNAcentral is "partial 28S ribosomal RNA". It matches the Rfam family "Eukaryotic large subunit ribosomal RNA", at positions 656 to 847 of the family's 3401-position model. The record is from RNAcentral. Lineage: Eukaryota; Metazoa; Tardigrada; Eutardigrada; Parachela; Doryphoribiidae.